This 4983-nucleotide long non-coding RNA is filed under the name Nicotiana benthamiana. Its description in RNAcentral is "long non-coding RNA (NBEN_LNC036196)". The record is from RNAcentral. Lineage: Eukaryota; Viridiplantae; Streptophyta; Magnoliopsida; Solanales; Solanaceae.
CUCCUUGUUCUCGCUAACUGAACCAUAAAAAGUUAAUGAUGAAUAGAGAUUCUCUCCCUCCUAAUGUUUGGUAUAGGCAUUUGAGCAGUGCAAACCAGUAAACCACACCUGGAGGAAGCGCAUACAAGUCCAUGAUACAUAAUUGACUUUGCAUAUAAACGGGUUUAUGUUGCGAAAGUGAAUGAUGUAUUUUAAUUUUAAUAUUAACGCAUCAUGAGAAUGAACUUCAGAAAGCAUCAUUUCGAUCCAAAAUCAAGAUUUGCUUUAGCUGAGGCCACCCAAAAUACCCCAUACGACUCACACAAUCUUGACGCAUCACAGGACGGUUAGAAUAUAUCGCACUUCUAAUCACUCACCCAAGCUCGUUUGACACCACAUAAUAUACUGGAUAGGAUUUCAGCAACAUGUCACAUCGGAAUUUGGAUCGGCUCUUCAUCUACUACUCAAAUAUACAUGUACAACAAAAACGUAAUGUUCAUAGCAAGUAAAGUAUAUGCCGGAGCAUCACAUGUUUGCUGUGGUUUCCUUAAUCUCCUCCAUAGAAAUCGCCUGCGAAGCAAAAGGCAGAAGACUCGCCUUAGUAGCAGAUAUAAUUGCAAAACAGACACUUAAGGCAGUUAUGAGGCACGGACAGCAUAUAAUAGUAACCUUUCUUUUACCAAUACUCCUAGAGGCUGAUAUACCAAGGGUAGAGUAAGCAAACUGAUGCUAUCAUAUGCCAUUAUUAAAAAUCUAUUGCCAAUUGCGGCUCCCAUUUUCUCUUAUCAAAUGAUCCCCUCAUUAUUAUUAACCCACAUGACCAGUAGUGACCCACCCCAGUAGAUACCCACUCUCCUCUCAAGGUAGCCAAAAGAGCAAAGAGGAAAUGAGCGACUAACUAAAUACCCAACCUAAGAAGGUAAUUAGAAACCAAGCUUCGCCAUAUUUGCAUUUGAUAUACCUGUUCUUCUCCAGCAAAAUCAUUAUCAGGGGUGAGAAAAAGCAUGCAGUGGCACUCCUUCCUGUAAUGCAAGUUUUAAGAAGGAUGAGAAAGACAGUAAGGCGACAAAAGAAGACUGAUCAAAACGGAACUUAAUUGGAGCUUUUAUAGAUGAUAAAAUACUAAACCAUAACGUCCACGGCUACUUGGAUUGACACAUAGAGCAAAAUGUUUAUGACCAGAUAUAUAUGAUAGCACACGUAAUUGAGCUAGAAACAUUCUUUUUUUUUAUGAGGUAAGAUUAGUUGAGCUAGAAACAUCGAAUGGCAAAGGACACAAAGGCAACAGACAAGUUACCCUUAAAUUCAUGCACCCAUAAGCUGAAAAAUAGAUCUUUAGAAUGCAGGAUAUUGAUUUUUUACUUACAAGAUCUUCUUCUGCUUUUCUUUUUACCCCCAGCAAGCAAAAACGAAGUGUGAUCACCAGAAUACAACAAGUCUAUAGAUACAAGCAAGAGGGGUUGCUCUGAUGGUAAGCAACCCCCACUUCCAACCAAGAUGUUGUGUCGAGUCUCCCCAAGAGCAAGGUGGGAAGUUCUUGGAGGGAAGGAUGCUGGAGGUCUAUUUGGGAAUGGCAAUGGACACAAAAGCAACAGACAAGUUAUCCUUAAAUUCAUGCACCCAUAAGCUGAAUAAUAGAUCUUCAGAAUGCAGAAUACUGAUUUCCUACUUACAAGAUCUUCUUCUGCUUUUCUUUUUACCCCCAGCAAGCAAAAACGAAGUGCGAUCACCAGAAUACAACAAGUAUAUAGAUACAGGCAAAACUCAUUUUACCUCUCUCUCAUUGGUACACAUGGACAAUUCCAGAAGCCCUGCUGUGCUUCUGCAGCUUUGUCAUCAUAAUGCCUGAAAAAUUAAAAUGAUAACAUCAUGGUACAGUUCAUGGUAAUAACGAUUACAAAGGUACUGUAGUAAUGGGUAAGGAGCAAAACAUGAAAACCAUCAGAACAAAUGUGUCAGGAGUGAAUAUUUACCUGCAGGGGCAGAGUGGCGCACCCAGUGUAUCCUUGUGCUCUGCCAAUCCCUAAACAUAUGUCAAAAAAUACCAUUAAUUAAAUCCUAUCCUCGAUGUAAACAUCGAUGUUUCAAUAAGGAAUAUAGGAACCACUGGGUGUUGGACUAAGACAUCCUAACAAGAGCAGCACUAAACUAUAAACCACCUAUGCUCCACGUAAAUGGAACCUAAGAUUAUUAAGUUUUCAAAGACACAAAUGAAUGUCUUUCACUUGUGCAUAAAUCAGGCAACCUCAACACUUAUCAUUCUUUUUUUUUUGUGUGUUUGUGUGUUGGGGGUUUUGGGGGGGGGGGGGGGGGGGGAAUUUUUUAGGGGUUUUUUUUUUUUUUUUUAAAAAAAAAANNNNNNNNNNNNUAAAUUUGUACAGGUCUUUUUUUUCUUUUUGAAAAAAAAAACAAUUACUAUCAAAAAGACAAAGUACGUGUCUCUGUAGCAAAAAUUACUUUUCAAGGAUAAAGAUAUUCUGAUUAGUCGUAGUAUUCUGUGAACCUAGACUUGGGUCUUAAAAAUGACUAAUAUUCUUUCGUCUCCUCAAGAUUAUUAAUAGUUACAACGUCUCUGUAUGCAGAUUCAUUCAUGCUUAGCCUACAGACUUAUUAAAUAUCUUCUCGAUUCAAAUUUCUAAAAGGUGAUAUUUCUGUUCUUUGUAGAGCAACAUUGUUUAGAAAACUUUGUAAGACAAAAAGCAUCCAACACCGAAAGGGAGAAGUCAUAAUGGCUAUCGAAUAAUCAAAUAAAACCAAUCCUACAACUACAAGCUAUCAAACUAAUAAACGAUACUCCUAAGGCAAGUUCCAUUACAUGCUUGGAAACAUCCUUAUGUUUUGAUGCUCUAUAAAAACGCAAGAGGAUACUUACCACAACUGCAUAUAAAUUUCACUUCUUUCCAUUGAGAAGUGUGCUUUCCAUAGGUUACUUUUGGUGUGGCUGAGGCUCUAAAAUCAUUUUUUUUUUAUUUUGGAUUUAACUUCCCAUUCACCUUGGUUGCUGCUAAAUGCUAAGUAUUAUUUUUGACAUUUUAUUGCUAUCAUUGUUGUUAUUUAUUCGGGGGUAGCUAUUCUGUUCAAUAGGUAAAUCAUGGGUGUAACCCAACACAACCAAGAACACCAAGAGGAUCCUCAACUACCCCAACACAAUCUAGACGAGCACCCUUCCAUGUCAUAAAAAGACUUCUCCUUAUCCACUCCCUUGCCCGGUUGAUAUUGAGCUUCUAGUGUUCAUAGCUCUCCUUCAACACAAUAGCUUUUCCUUGGUUUGCAAUCACACUACAACUUCCUCGUGGCUCUUCAUAAAGAAAGGAUUGCAUUUCAUCAUGUUCCACCUUAAAAUAAGGACACCAUGUUUGAUCGAUCUUUGAGAUUGGCCUCUGUCCGAUCUAUUAAGUCCCCCACUGUCAUUUUUCUUUGAAACAACUGCGAUAUAUCCUAUUCAUCUAUCUUGGUUAUGAGAUGAUAAAAAUUUUACUCACAUUAUCAUAAUUUCUCAACUUUUAUUCCCUUCUUUGAGCCAAAAUUGGCAUUUUAUAUAUUAAGCUCUUCUUUUCCAUUGUUCUCUGUUUUUAUUUUCCCUCUUACACAUCUCAUAUAUUACAUAACUAGACGUUAUACUGUUGUUCUCUCUUAUCCUCAUUUUAUGUCAUAAGAUAUCCCCUUGGUUCAAGGAUUUCCACAUCUUGAAGCUCCAAAUUUAAAUUUAUACGGUCGCCAAUCAACUUAGAAACAUGCUUCCAUAAGAUACACAAAAAUACACCCCAACCUAAAAUAUACUAACUGAGAGAUACCUGGGAAAAAGCAACCACCUAUUCAAUCUUUAAAACCAAGGUAGCACAUUGACAUGAAAAUUAUUAUUUCUACAGUAAUUUACCAGCUGACAAAUAAAUACCACAAGUUGAAGUAGCGAAUUUGACAUUGACCCUCUCUAUUAGUUGCUAAUCAGGUCACAAAAUCAUAGAGCAAAUAAUAAAACAACAUUAAUAUGCUAUUGAAGACAGCUUUCACGGAGAGUAGAGACUAAAGGCCCUUGUCGCAAAUUCAAUCUCUAAGACACAAUCUCAGUAAGUGAAAUAGAGAAGAUUAAUCAUUUGCCACACCUAGGGAUAAAAAUAGGAAAAUAUGAUAUGAAACACACGCAAAAGUCAUAAACAUACAAGUGCAUAUAGGAAAUGCAGAACAGAGGUUAUUGGUAUAGCAGCUGCAAGCAAUCGAAUGAUCAUUAAAAUAAAUGUGAAAGGGAAACGAAAGUACCUUGAUGACCACAGAAGUCACGCCUUUGUCCAUGCAGAAAUAUGUUCCUGACCUGCGAGCAUACUGCUCCGAGAAUUUCCUCAUGAUUUCGACAGAUUUCUCUGAUGGUUCCACUAUAUAUGCAAACCACGCCGAAGAAAUUAGUUAUUUCAGUAAAAUUGAUAGCUUAAACUUGUACUAAAUUUGUUGAUUUUAUGUUAAUAAUCAAAUUUUGAUGUAGCUGAAUGGAGGCCUUAUUUUCAUUUUACGGAAAAAUCACAAGUAAAUUUAUAGAUGCUUAUCUGCCGUGAUUAAAAAUGAGUCUUCAAGAUCUAUAUGAAACAUUCUAAACUCGAAACUAAAAUGUGAAGCAAAAAUUUAAAGACUCGAGGCAGUUUUUAACAUCAAAUGUCUCCAAGGAUCCAAUUCCAGGAGCUUAUCAUCAUAAACAAACUAAUAAUUCAAAAAUCGAAAACAAAAAUAUGCAACAGAAAGGAAAUGAGAAGAAAUAAUGACUGUGAAGCUGAAAAAUGGUUACUUUUAGCUACGGUGACGUCGCGACGAGUAGAAGGCUUAGGAAGAGUAGCAAAAGAUGAAAUCCCAAAGCCGACGCUGUAGGAGGGGGACGCUUGAAGAGUUCUCAUGGCGUAAAUCGGCAGGUAAUCGCUUCGUGCUGUAUUUUUCAGUGCUAGUUUUCGAUCGAGUCAAAGUAGGAUUCUGUGAACCACCACAGUCCACAAAUUAGGAAGGAAAAAGAUCUCUCUCGUA